RNAcentral lists this long non-coding RNA (1008 nucleotides) under Equus asinus (donkey). Its description in RNAcentral is "lncRNA (ENSEASG00005030094.1)". The record is from RNAcentral. Lineage: Eukaryota; Metazoa; Chordata; Mammalia; Perissodactyla; Equidae.
GAGGGCACACGGCCCAGCCCCGGACAGCCUGUUGCCUUGCAGGAACGCAGACCUAGUGAUGCCAGGUCUAAAUUUUCAAGAAAAGCUAGAAAUCCAGAUUAUGUAGAGAUUCAAUAUUUAAAAGUUGGGAACUUUUUUUUUAAGUCAAUUGCUGGAGCACCAGUUUGCUGUCUCUGAAUUAAUGUGAUUUUAAGCAUUUCUCGUAGUGACCUGUUGAAGCAUUGUGUCUGAGUGCAGAGACGGAACUCUUGAAGAACGGAAGAGAUUUCAGAGAAAAGUGACAAAUUAAAUGAUACGUCUUGUGGCAAAGUGACCAGCACACAGUAAUCAUUCAGUUCGUGUUUGUUUAUGAAAAAUCACUUAAAAACGUAUUGAAAAGACAAGAGGAGGAGGAGGAAGGAGCCAAGAGCUGGCCGCCACUGUCUUCAGUCACAUUGGUCACCUGGAAAGCAGAAUCCUAUCAAUGGAAUUGUAUUGUUCCCUUGCUUUCAACAUUGUGGCCAUCUACUCGUCCUGUCUCCAGGAAUUGCUUAGCUGUAUUUCUCGCAGUAGGUGCCCGAGAGACAUUCAAGUGGAGCUGACUUGGGCUGUCUAGAAGAGAGGCGACGGGUGGCUCCGAAGGAAGAGGCCUGACACCGAGUCCGGAAGAACGUCGCAUCGAGGCAGAGGGCGCAGGACGAGCCAGCGACAAAGGCGGGGGCGGAGCAGCGGAGGGGUAGGCGCGAGGCAACGGCAGCCUUGGCCGCGCGGGCCACGCUCAGAACUUGGCAAGCCCUCUUUCCCAAACACUCGCCCCCAGCCGCCCCGGCCUCCCGGCGAACAACGCCUGUGCCUAAUCGCGCCGGGGACACCUAAUCCCGCCGCGCGCCGCUCCAGCCCGCGCCGCGCUCCCGAGGGCAGGGGCUCCAAGGGCGAGGGCUCCUGAUGGCCGGGGCUCCGAGGGUCUUGGCUCCGAGGGCGGGGGCUCCGAUAGGAGGGGCUCCGAGGGCUGGGGCUCCGAUGCUUGGU